This 468-nucleotide ribosomal RNA is filed under the name uncultured bacterium. Its description in RNAcentral is "partial 16S ribosomal RNA". It matches the Rfam family "Bacterial small subunit ribosomal RNA", at positions 28 to 507 of the family's 1533-position model. The record is from RNAcentral.
GACGAACGCUGGCGGCGUGCUUAACACAUGCAAGUCGAACGGAAAGGCCCUGCUUUUGUGGGGUGCUCGAGUGGCGAACGGGUGAGUAACACGUGAGUAACCUGCCCUUGACUUUGGGAUAACUUCAGGAAACUGGGGCUACUACCGGAUAGGAGCUCCUGUUGCAUGGUGGGGGUUGGAAAGUUUCGGCGGGUGGGGAUGGACUCGCGGCUUAUCAGCUUGUUGGUGGGGUAGUGGCAUACCAAGGCAUGGACGGGUAGGCGGCCUGGGAGGGUGACCGGCCACAUUGGGACUGAGAUACGGACCAGACUCCUACGGGAGGCAGCAGUGGGGAGUAUUGCACAAUGGGCGGAAGCCUGAUGCAGCAGCGCCGCGUGCGGGAUGACGGCCUUCGGGCUGUAAACCGCUUUCGCCUGUGACGAAGCGUGAGUGACGGUAAUGGGUAAAGAAGCACCGGCUAACUACGUG